CGCGUGGGAACGUACCUUUUGGUUCGGAACAACACAGGGAAACUUGUGCUAAUACCGGAUAAGCCCUUACGGGGAAAGAUUUAUCGCCGAAAGAUCGGCCCGCGUCUGAUUAGCUAGUUGGUAAGGUAAUGGCUUACCAAGGCGACGAUCUCUAGCUGGUUUGAGAGGAUGAUCAGCCACACUGGGACUGAGACACGGCCCAGACUCCUACGGGAGGCAGCAGUGGGGAAUAUUGCACAAUGGGGGAAACCCUGAUGCAGCCAUGCCGCGUGUGUGAAGAAGGCCUUCGGGUUGUAAAGC
This 300-nucleotide ribosomal RNA is filed under the name uncultured Alphaproteobacteria bacterium. Its description in RNAcentral is "bacterial SSU rRNA". It matches the Rfam family "Bacterial small subunit ribosomal RNA", at positions 114 to 431 of the family's 1533-position model. Lineage: Bacteria; Pseudomonadati; Pseudomonadota; Alphaproteobacteria. The record is from RNAcentral.